Molecule: non-coding RNA, 73 nt
Organism: Ameiurus melas (black bullhead)
Lineage: Eukaryota; Metazoa; Chordata; Actinopteri; Siluriformes; Ictaluridae
Source: the annotation of a GenBank genome assembly
GGAACAGUGGCUUAGUGGUUAGCACGUUUGAUUCACAGCUCUGUGGUUGGGGGUUCGAUUCCCACCUCUUUAA